RNAcentral lists this ribosomal RNA (467 nucleotides) under uncultured Oomycota. RNAcentral's name for it is "LSU rRNA". It matches the Rfam family "Eukaryotic large subunit ribosomal RNA", at positions 326 to 629 of the family's 3401-position model. Lineage: Eukaryota; Oomycota. The record is from RNAcentral.
GUGCGAGACCGAUAGCGAACAAGUACCGUGAGGAAAAGAUGAAAAGAACUUUGAAAAGAGAGUUAAAGAGUACCUGAAACUGCUGAAAGGGAAGCGAAUCGUAUCCAGUGUCUAUAAUCUGCGGCAUAUCUCAUUGGCGGCGGUGUGCGUGCCUUGNCUUUGGAAGCGGCUUUUGUUGCUCUGUGCUUUGGUGUUGCGCGUUGGUGCUGAUGCCCUGUGUUGCGGUGGGACGUCAGAGUCAGUUCGUAUGCUGCGGGAAAUGGCUGCCGAGGAGGUAGGUCAGGACUUCGGUCUUGGCUGUUAUAUCUUGGUGGUUUGUUGUCGUGGUUGGGACUGAGGUGCCUACAAUGUGCUUUUGAGUGUGCCGGGUUCUCAUUUGGUGGACUGUUUGGAUAGCUUGCUAUGCUUGUGGUUUUUUCAUCGAGUGAUUGAGUCUGGUGGUAACUUGUUGCUGUUCGGGACUUUGA